This 426-nucleotide ribosomal RNA is filed under the name uncultured Lacunisphaera sp. RNAcentral describes it as "bacterial SSU rRNA". It matches the Rfam family "Bacterial small subunit ribosomal RNA", at positions 355 to 774 of the family's 1533-position model. The record is from RNAcentral. Lineage: Bacteria; Pseudomonadati; Verrucomicrobiota; Opitutia; Opitutales; Opitutaceae.
UUUCGAAUCAUUCACAAUGGGCGAAAGCCUGAUGGUGCGACGCCGCGUGAGGGAUGAAGGCCUUCGGGUCGUAAACCUCUGUCACCGGGGAGGAAACGCUUCAAGUUAAUAGCUUGAAGCCUGACUUAACCCGGAGAGGAAGCAGUGGCUAACUCUGUGCCAGCAGCCGCGGUAAUACAGAGACUGCAAGCGUUAUUCGGAUUCACUGGGCGUAAAGGGUGCGCAGGCGGCCAUGUGUGUUGGGUGUGAAAGCCCGGAGCUUAACUCCGGAAUUGCGCCCAAAACUACAUGGCUAGAGUAUUGGAGAGGGUAACGGAAUUCAUGGUGUAGCAGUGAAAUGCGUAGAUAUCAUGAGGAACACCAGAGGCGAAGGCGGUUACCUGGACAAUUACUGACGCUCAGGCACGAAAGCGUGGGGAGCAAAAG